GGAAGGGGUGUCAGAAGUAUAGGUUGGGGGACAAGUGGCUGGAGAGCAGCACUUGUGAAAGGGACCUCGGG
This is a long non-coding RNA of Varanus komodoensis (Komodo dragon), 71 nucleotides long. RefSeq lists it as uncharacterized. Lineage: Eukaryota; Metazoa; Chordata; Lepidosauria; Squamata; Varanidae. The record is from RefSeq and is a predicted model, not a curated record. The transcript has 3 exons.